UGAUUCUUCAGAUACACGUAAUCUCCA
Molecule: small RNA, 27 nt
Filed under: Bombyx mori (domestic silkworm)
Lineage: Eukaryota; Metazoa; Arthropoda; Insecta; Lepidoptera; Bombycidae
Description: ovarian small RNA-33075
Source: RNAcentral